RNAcentral lists this ribosomal RNA (305 nucleotides) under uncultured bacterium. Its description in RNAcentral is "partial 16S ribosomal RNA". It matches the Rfam family "Bacterial small subunit ribosomal RNA", at positions 508 to 807 of the family's 1533-position model. The record is from RNAcentral.
ACAGCAGUCGCCGCGGUAAUACAGAGGGUGCAAGCGUUAAUCGGAAUUACUGGGCGUAAAGCGCGCGUAGGUGGUUUGUUAAGUUGGAUGUGAAAGCCCCGGGCUCAACCUGGGAACUGCAUCCAAAACUGGCAAGCUAGAGUACGGUAGAGGGUGGUGGAAUUUCCUGUGUAGCGGUGAAAUGCGUAGAUAUAGGAAGGAACACCAGUGGCGAAGGCGACCACCUGGACUGAUACUGACACUGAGGUGCGAAAGCGUGGGGAGCAAACAGGAUUAGAUACCCCUGUAGUCCCUGUCUCUUAUAC